UGGGGGAUAUUGCACAAUGGGCGAAAGCCUGAUGCAGCGACGCCGCGUGGGGGAUGAAGGCCUUCGGGUUGUAAACUUCUUUUGCUCUGAACAAGGCGCACCAUGGGGUGUGUUGCGUGUAGGGGUUGAUUAGCGCCGGCUAACUACGUGCCAGCAGCCGCGGUAAUACGUAGGGCGCGAGCGUUGUCCGGAAUUAUUGGGCGUAAAGGGCUUGUAGGUGGCUGGUUGCGUCUGUCGUGAAAGCUCAUGGCUUAACUGUGGGUUUGCGGUGGGUACGGGCUGGCUUGAGUGCAGUAGGGGAGGCUGGAAUUCCUGGUGUAGCGGUGGAAUGCGAAGAUAUCAGGAGGAAUACCGGUGGCGAAGGCGGGUCUCUGGGCUGUUACUGACACUGAGGAGCGAAAGCAUGGGGAGCGAACAGG
This 419-nucleotide ribosomal RNA is filed under the name bacterium. RNAcentral describes it as "partial 16S ribosomal RNA". It matches the Rfam family "Bacterial small subunit ribosomal RNA", at positions 355 to 776 of the family's 1533-position model. The record is from RNAcentral.